AUCCGGAUUUACUGGGUGUAAAGGGGGCGCAGACGGCAGCGCAAGCCAGGAGUGAAAGCCCGGGGCCCAACCCCGGGACUGCUCUUGGAACUGCGCGGCUGGAGUGCAGGAGGGGCAGGCGGAAUUCCUGGUGUAGCGGUGAAAUGCGCAGAUAUCAGGAGGAACACCGGUGGCGAAGGCGGGUCUCUGGGUAGUAACUGACGCUGAGGAGCGAAAGCAUGGGUAGCGAACAGGAUUAGA
This 240-nucleotide ribosomal RNA is filed under the name Dietzia sp. 111N12-1. Its description in RNAcentral is "partial 16S ribosomal RNA". It matches the Rfam family "Bacterial small subunit ribosomal RNA", at positions 543 to 782 of the family's 1533-position model. The record is from RNAcentral. Lineage: Bacteria; Bacillati; Actinomycetota; Actinomycetes; Mycobacteriales; Dietziaceae.